CUCCCCAUCGCUCUCAUUACUGCCUGAGCUCCACCUCCUGUCAGAUCAGUGGCGGCAUUAGAUUCUCAUAGGAGCUUGAAUCCUGCUGUGAACUGCGCAUACGAGGGAUAUAUGUUGCGUGCUCCUUAUGAGAAUCUAAUGCAUGAUGAUCUGAAGUGGAGCUGAGGCAGUGAUGCUAGCACUGGGGAGCGGCUGCAAAUACAGAUUAUCAUUAGCGGAGAGGUUUGACUGCACAGAGACCAUGAUAAAUCAACUGCUUGCAGACUCAUAUCAAAACCCAAUCUGUGGGUGUCAAGUGAAAACAAGCUCAGGGCUCCCACUGAUUCUGCAUUAUGAGUCAUCCCAACUGCAACACAAAGACCAGAUGGUUUCUGCAUUAUAGUUCCUGCUGCCAAGCCUGAGGAGCUGCCUGGAACUGCCAGUUUUCCAAGACGGGUGCUCCAGACUCUUGUUAAUACUUGUGCACCUGAUACGCUUCUGAUAUACGUAUUCUGGCUUUCUUUUUCCACUUCUUUUUCUUUUUCCUUCCCUUCCUCCCUCCCUUCCUUCCUUCCUCUCUGUCUCUCCCUUCCUUCCUUCCAACCUUCCUUCCUUUCUCUCUCUCUCUCUCUCUCUCUCUCUCUCUCUUUCUUUUCAACCACAUUUGGUCUCAGUGGCUUACAACCAAGACUCUUGACAGAUUCAAGGCCUAAUGAACAGAAACUACCAGACUAUGGUGCAGCUUCAUCUCACAUAAGUGGUUCCUAGAUCAACCCAGUGGGGUUUCUCCUGCCGUAUCACACACAGUCUCAAUGCUACUACUAGAGUUAAGAAAAUGCUUUCAAGAUAAAGAAGUAGAGGCUUUUCUAGAUGUGGCUUAACUCAGGAACGUGGUUUGCAGUACCACCAGCUGCCCCUGCCCUUCUGGCCAGCCUGUGCCCAACGGCUUCUGUGGAUGGACAGCUAGAGGGGGAGGCAAAGCAGCUUCCCAGCGGGGCUCUGCCUUUCACCACAGGACCGUAUUGGGUAGGUUACUUGACUUUUCUAAGCCUCGACUUCCAAAUCUGUAAAACAGAUAAAAACUCAGGCUGCCUCACAGGUUUGUGAGGACUGAAUGAGAAAACAGAUGCAAAGCACCUGCCCCAUAGAAAUCACCAAAUGAAGGUCAGAGCCCCUGAUGAUUUUAUGAUGAUCAAACUUAACACUUCAGGAAGCAAUGCAUUCUCAUUUGAGACAGCCUGAGUUACUGACAAAUGGUUUCUUAUAUAGAGCAGAAUUUUGCCUCUAGUACAUUUUAUUCAUUGGUCUUAAGUAUUCCCUCUGGGAAAAAAGCAAAUUAGGCAUCACACUCUUCCACAUGACAACCCUUUAAAUAGUUGAAGGUACAUUUCCCCCGUUCACCCAUAUGAAACUUGUGUCUGCCAACUUCCCCACCCAACCCACACUCAAGUUUUUAUAUACAAACUACUCUUUAGCCAGUUCUCCUCAAAUUUAUUCUUGGAAAUAUUUUUAAACUGUUGUUAUUUACAUUUAUAUUCCAUUUUAUUUCACAACAGCUUUGACUAUCAUCUUAGCCCCUCAAGAGUUUUUCUUUUAUUGAAAUAUAAUUGAUUUGCAAUGUUUCCGGUGUACAGCAGAGUGAUUCAGUUAUACAUAUAUAUAUGUAUAUAUACAUAUUCUUUUUCAGAUUCUUUUCUUUAUAGGUUAUUACAAGAUAUUGAAUAUAGUUCCCUGUGCUAUACAGUAGGUCCUUGUUGUUUAGCUAGUUUAUAUAUGGUAGUGUGUAUCUGUUAAUCCCAAAUUGUUAAUUUAUCCCUCCCCCCAAGAGCUUUUUAAUCUGGAUUUCAUUAUUCUCUGUAUGAGCAAGUUCUCUGGAUUAGCUAGGAUUAGGUUUGCCUAUGAAUUACAUGACACUAAGAUAUACAUACAGACACUUAGGUUGUUUCCAUACCUUGGCUGUUGUGAAUAAUGCUGCAGCGAUCAUGGGAGUACAGAUAUCUCUCUAGAUAAUGGUUUUGUGUCCUUUGUAUGUCAGAAGUGGGAUUGCUGGGUCAUACAGUAGUUCUAUUAUUGAUUUUUUUGAAGAACCUCCAUACUGUUUUUCAUAGUGGCUACAGCAAUUUGCAUUCCCACCAACAGUGCCCGAGGGCUCCCUUUUCUCCACACCCCCGCCAGCAUGUUUUAUCUCUUUUUCAAAAUAGCCAUUCUAACAGGUGUUAGGUUAUAUCUCACUGUGCUUUUUAUUUUCAUUCCCCUGAUUAGUGAUGUUGAGCACCUUUUCAUGUACCUAUUGGUUAUUUGUAUGUCUUCCUUGGAAAAAUAUUUAUUCAAAUCCUUUGUUCUGACUGCUCCACCCACCAGCCUUUCCCUCUCUCUCCAUAUCUUCUGGCCUCUCUAUUCCCUGAGACACAACAAUAUUGAAAUUAGGCCAGUUAAUAAUCAUACAAUGGCCUCUAAGUGUUCAAGUGAAAGGAAGAGUCACACGUCUCUCACUUUAAAUCAAAAAUUAUAAAUGAUUAAUGUGAGGGAGGAAGGCAUGGUGAAAUUCAAGAUAGACUGAAAGCUAGGACUCUUGCACCCAACAGUUAGCCAAGUUGGGAAUGCAAAGGAAAGUUCCUGAAAGAAAUCAAAAUUGCCACUCCAGUGAACACAUGAAUAAUAAAAAAAAACUGUAACAGCCUUAUUGCUGAUAUGGAGAAAGUUUUAGUGAUUUGGAUAGAUCAAACCAACCACAAUAUCCCCUUAAGCCAAAAGCCCAAUACAGACAAAGGCUCUAAUUCUCUUCAAUUCCAUGAAGUCUGAGAGAGAUGAAGGCACUGCAGAAGAAAGGUUUGAAGCGAGCAGAGGUUGGUUAUGAGGUUUAAGGAAAGAAGCCAUCUCCAUAACAUAAAAGUGCAAAGUGAAGCAGCAAGUGCUGAUAUACAAGCUGCAGCAAGUUAUCCAGAAGAUCUGGCUAUAGAUGAUUAAUGAAGGUGGUUACACGAAACAACAGACUUUCAGUGUAUAUGAAACCACCCUAUAUUGGAAGAAGAUGCCACCUAGACUAUCAUAUCUAGAGAGGAGAUGUCAAUGCCUGACUUCAAAUCUUCAAAGGACAGGCUGACUCUCUUGUUAGGGGCCGAAGCAAUUGGUGAUUUUGUGGUGAAGCCGAUGCUCACUUACCAUUCCAAAAAUCCUAGGGCCCUUCAGAAUUAUGCUCAGUCUGCUCUUCCUGUGCUCUAUAACUGGAACAACAAAGCCUGGACUUCAGCUAAAACAGCAGAAGCUGAACUGCUCCCAUACUCCUUAUUUGCUGCAUACACUUCUCCAAUGUGUUGAAGCCCUUCUUCUAAUCUAGUUUAUAUCCCAAGUUUGUAUCCACCUUGACAAUAAAAUUCUUCCACUUACUCUAGGACUUUUUGAAAUAAGAUUAUAAUGUCCCAAGUCAUGUAGGGACUGGGUCCACAAAUGCCCUAUAUAUAUCUCACUUUUUAGCAGUAGCCACGGUGAUUGGUUCAGUGGGUGAACACGUGAGCUAAGUUGUCCAGUCUGUCUGUGGAAUUUUUAUAUAGCAAAAUGGGGAAAAAAUGUAUUCUUACUUUGCUCUAGAAUCACAAAAUUUGGAGACUCUAAGCCGGGAAUUGGCUACCUUCCCACACCCCCACCAUGUAUAUGAAUCCAUCUCUCUGCAAUAGAAGAGGAUAAAAUCAAUAAGCAGGAAAAACAGAGACAAAAGACAACCAUGAUGGCAUUGUGUCUCCAGGUCCUAUAUCUGAAGCUCCCCAGUUUGCCCGAUCCCUGCAGCUCUUCCUUGGCUUCUCUGAACAACCCCCUGGAUGACUUCAUUAAAACAACCUUGGUGCUUAAUCUUUCUUAAGUUGGAGUUUAUGUCAUUGCAAACAUAAGAAUAUUAACUGUAGCAGAGAUAGCUAACUCUUAUGCCCCAAAUGUAUGCAUUUCCUUCCUGGAGUUCCUACCAGGAACUGCAACCCAGUCAGGCAACACAACUUUCCAACCUCAAUACACCGAGGUGGGGCCAUGUGACUUGUUCUUAGUAAUGGAAACAAGCGUGUAUUAAUUCCAGAUCAAGAUUGUUAAGAAGUGGUUAUAUCUUCUUCACUCUUUUUUUUUCUUCCACUAGCUGAAUACAGAUAAGCACAGUGUCAGAUGGUGAACCUAUAAGACAGAACGAGGCUGAAAUCCUAAAUCACUAGUUGGAGGAAAGUUUCCCACUAAUCUCUUUGGGAGUUGAUGUGAUUGACAAGUAAACUUCUAUCAUACAUAUUUGAAAAAUUAUAUAUUUUGAGGAUUGUGUGAUACAGCAACUACUCCUAUCCCAAGUAAUUCACUAACUAUUGAAGUCCUUAAUCUCAAGUUUUUCAUGGCAAUUAAAAUUUUCUUUGAGCUUAGGAAUGAACAUGAAAGAUAUCCUAGAAGAGGUAUCACUUGAACCAAAUCUGGAAAUAUGAGAAGAAUUCAAUUGUGUGAUAAAGGAAGGGAAUGGCAUUCCAGUGGAAGAGAAGAACAUAUGCAAAAAAGGACAGCAAGAAAAAUCAUGGAAUAUUUGGAGACUAGUAAUCCAUUUAUUAUUAAUAAAGAAAGAAGAAGAGUAAUGGGAUAUCAGUUGAAGUAGCAGGGGGGAACCAGAUCAUAAUAUGUCUUGGACCAAAACAAAUUCUAUGAAACUCUGGGUUCCCACAACCACAAUCAUUAUAUCACCCUUGAUGACAGAAAGAGCAAGUAAUUCUUUAUAGAAAUUUUUUUGUAGGAUUCAUGGCAUGUAUAUCAAGAGAAGAAAUUGAUACUCUGCACAUAACUAAUGGAGUUAGAGUUUGGGCUAAUUUCUGGAUUGAACUUGAACUUGAAGGUAGUUAAUGGUCUUUGCAGUAGCUUGGGAUAAAACUGCUUAGAAAGAGUUCUUUGUAUGGGAUGGUGACAAAAUAAUCUAAAUGAAUUCUCUCUUGCAGGAUAUAGAAAUAAAAAAUACUCACAGGGAAAGCAAAUCACUUAAGCAAUGGCUGUAUCCAGAAAUAUUGUUAACAAUUCUCUGUGAGGUUUAUGGAAUAAGCCAGUUAUGGAAGUAUCAGGACCCAAGGCCAACUGAUAACAAGAAAGUGAGACAGUAGCCAGGUUACCUUGCUUUAUCUUGCUUUCUUGUGCUAAUCCCACAUAACCAGUGGUGAUCUGGGUGUACCACUUCCACGCCACCUUAGAAACGACUGCACUCAACCUAUUAUGCCACACUAACGAGUUCGUAUUCUAUGUUGAAUGUGAAAUUUACUCCUACAAUAAGGUAACAGCCAUAAUGUCAACUCCCAGGAAAUACAACAAUUGUAUUUUUAGUCCAGGCUUAUUUGACCUCUAGUAAUCAAUCAUGGACUCUGACAUGGAAAAAUUUUACAUUAAGUGAAAGAAAAUAAAUGGGUUAGAGGAAAUCAACUGAAACAACUGUUUUAUAACACGCAGGAAAGUAAUAUUUUAAAAUAGUCCAUCUGUUGACAGGAUAUUGAUACUUGGAAAUUUCUGUGUAUAAACUUAGCAGGGUUUUGGCCUUUCGUGUUGCAACUAUGACCCUUACUGGCCAGAAAGUAGCCAUGGAGGCAAGGAAAUACUGUUUAGAUACUGACAAUAAAUGAGAUAAAAAUCCAAUAGAAGGAUUGCACAUUGCAAGAAACAGAGUAGUUGAUUUAGGAUUGUAUGUCAUUUGGGCAAUCGAUUUCUCAACCUGUUUUUCACAAGAUGUUAUUUGGUAUUUUACAAUUAACGUUUCU
Molecule: long non-coding RNA, 5729 nt
Organism: Orcinus orca (killer whale)
Lineage: Eukaryota; Metazoa; Chordata; Mammalia; Artiodactyla; Delphinidae
Exons: 3
Source: RefSeq, a predicted model, not a curated record